AGAGGAGCUUGCUUUUCUUAGCUUAGUGGCGAACGGGUGAGUAACGCGUGAGUAACCUGCCCUGGAGUGGGGGACAACAGUUGGAAACGACUGCUAAUACCGCAUAAGCCCACAGAGCCGCAUGGCUCAGGGGGAAAAGGAGCAAUUCGCUUCAGGAUGGAUUCGCGUCCAAUUAGCUAGAUGGUGAGGUAACGGCCCACCAAGGCGACGAUCAGUAGCCGGACUGAGAGGUUGAACGGCCACAUUGGGACUGAGAUACGGCCCAGACUCC
Molecule: ribosomal RNA, 271 nt
Filed under: uncultured Subdoligranulum sp.
Lineage: Bacteria; Bacillati; Bacillota; Clostridia; Eubacteriales; Oscillospiraceae
Description: partial 16S ribosomal RNA
Rfam family: Bacterial small subunit ribosomal RNA
Source: RNAcentral